AGCUUUUAGGUUGAGGCGGGUAUUCGAGACUAACUGGAUCUGCCUAUGAAAGAAGAACUAGAUGCUGCUGCUGCUGUUGAUGGACAGGACUCUUCCGAGAAUAAGUAUGACAGGUCUCAGCUACCCCACUUGCUGAAGAUAUACUACAAAUCACUGUUUCCAUAUGACAAGUACUGGGAGUGGCUUCACUAUGUUUUCGAGCUGUGAAGAAGGAGCUGGUGGUCGAUAUUGACAUGACGGACUAUGAUGACAUUUGUUAAGAGUCCAUUCUGUGUACACCCCAAAACAGGAUACUUUCUGCAAAACUACCAACUCGAAACAGGUAAACCUCUUUUCCUCAGCAUCAUGCGUACUCAUCCCACACACACGUGUAUGAGAUGCUGACAGAAAUGCUGACAAAAUCUCUUUCAUGAGGUCUUGGUAAGCAACAACAUAAUUAUUAUGAAGCUGCCGUGUACAAAACUCUUCUCUUUAAGCUCCUCUUCUAUAACACUUGAUCUAAGAUUGUUGCACUCUAUAUUAACUCAGUAUAACUAGUGCUAACUCUCGGCUGUUUACAUGUUUGUUUGUUCUGGGGCUAAGGUGCAACAACCACAAUCGUAAUUCUAGCUUUCUUCUUUAGUGACCCUGUUCCAUUGUUCCUGGUAUAGUAUCACUUCAACUCUAAAUGCAAAAGAAGCUUUAACAUCAAAAUCUGCCACUGUUACUAAUAAUAUGGAAGCUAUCUAUGCUGUAAACGCAGCGCUAUGGCAUCCAAGUAAGAAGACAUACUUUGUACUGAGGAGGUAGACUAGUGAAGGAACUAGUGCAAGAUACCAUUGGAAGUAAGCACGAGAUGAUACUAGUACCGGUGUCCAAAACCAAAUCAGCACUCAAUGCUAGCAGUUGUAGCAUGCAGACAGAUGGAGCUCAGAAGGCAGUUGAAGUACAAAAGCAGUACUACUGUGAGACAUUUUUGUUGUGUGUUCAAACCUUAAAACAGGAAGAACUAAUCAAGCGUUCUCCCAAAGGUAAACGUAUCAUGGUCAUUUUGGAUGCCAUCGAGCAAUUGGUUGUUGAGAGGAAAUGUGAGAGAUAUGUUACAGAGUUGGUUCAGAUAAUGAACACAUGCCUAAGUGCAAGUCAAAUUCACCAUUUGCCAGCUGCUGUUCGAGGUAAAAUUUGGACGGAGUUUCACCGCACACGUUGUAGCCCCGAAACAAAAAGGAUUUGGGAACAUUUAAUCAGUGAAAUCCCAGAAGUACACUUCGAGCAACAUCAACUUGCCAUGCAACUCUGUUUAGACCGGAUUUUAAAGCAACUCAUCAAGAGCAAGGCAGAUAAGAAACUGUAUGGUUUGAGCUCAACACAGGCAAACGUACAGACUCAACCACUGACAACGCUUGAAAGUAACGCAGUAAGGUAUAUGGUGGGAUAUGUUGCUGUUAGUUUGCUAAAGAAAUACAGAAAACCAUCAAAAAAUAUCAAUGUACAGGAGAAGAGGAGUCUCUUUGUCAAAGUUCUCUCCCAAAUGAAGUGUACUAAUCAACCUGGUGAACCGACUACUGCAUAUGAAUACAGCAAGCUUUGGUCUGAAUUGAUCGACAGAGGUGGUUUGUAUCAUAUCAAUGACAACAAUUGUGUAUACUUAGCCAUGUUAUAAAUUAUGAUUAUUUUUGCGCAGGUGUUUCUGUGCAUAGAGUCGACUGAGAUGGUCGUACGAAAGUAUCUAUGCACAGACACCCUCAAAACAACUCCUGAUCACAGUCAGAUAUGUACAAAGGUACAAGACGAAGUACUUCAGUCGGACACAGUGCUGCUGUAUUGGGAAGAAAUUGCUAAUUCAAUUCCUACCAAGUACGAGCUAUACAGCAUUGAACUAUUGCAGCAGAUAUGUGAACUGUGGAUACACAUCCGUGGACACGCUUUCGCAAAAGAAUGGACAAUGAAAUUCGAGUCUAAGUACAAGAAAGGGACCAGAAAAACUUUAAAGCCAAAACAAUAACGAUCUUAAUUAAUUCUCUCAAUACAAUAAUCAUAAUAAUUAUGUGUUGUGGAAGUCAUAAUUAUUUUAAUGUUGAUGAUCAUGAUAAUAAUUAUUCUAAAGUUCAACGAGAGUACAUGAUGAAUGAUUUCUUGAUCUCUUACGAAGUGGCUGUGAGACACAUUCUAGCUUGCUUGUCAGUUUCUGAAUCAACAUUCAUGGACUUUAAGUCUCUGUAGAUAGACCUUUGCUGUACAAGUGUAGACGCAUUGUAUGGUACUUGAAAAGCAGUCGGAUUUUUUUCAUUGCUGCCUCCACAAUGGCGUUGCCUAGAGAAAUAACGCU
This is a long non-coding RNA of Halichondria panicea, 2308 nucleotides long. RefSeq lists it as uncharacterized. The transcript is spliced from 3 exons. The record is from RefSeq and is a predicted model, not a curated record. Lineage: Eukaryota; Metazoa; Porifera; Demospongiae; Suberitida; Halichondriidae.